UAGGGAAUCUUCCGCAAUGGGCGAAAGCCUGACGGAGCAACGCCGCGUGAGUGAUGAAGGUCUUCGGAUCGUAAAACUCUGUUAUUAGGGAAGAACAAAUGUGUAAGUAACUAUGCACGUCUUGACGGUACCUAAUCAGAAAGCCACGGCUAACUACGUGCCAGCAGCCGCGGUAAUACGUAGGUGGCAAGCGUUAUCCGGAAUUAUUGGGCGUAAAGCGCGCGUAGGCGGUUUUUUAAGUCUGAUGUGAAAGCCCACGGCUCAACCGUUGAGGGUCAUUUGAAACUGGAAAACUUGAGUGCAGAAGAGGAAAGUUGAAUUCCAUGUGUAGCGGUGAAAUGCGCAGAGAUAUGGAGGAACACCAGUGGCGAAGGCGACUUUCUGGUCUGUAACUGACGCUGAUGUGCGAAAGCGUGGGGAUCAAACAGG
This 429-nucleotide ribosomal RNA is filed under the name Actinomycetes bacterium. RNAcentral describes it as "Actinobacteria bacterium partial 16S ribosomal RNA". It matches the Rfam family "Bacterial small subunit ribosomal RNA", at positions 355 to 776 of the family's 1533-position model. Lineage: Bacteria; Bacillati; Actinomycetota; Actinomycetes. The record is from RNAcentral.